This 732-nucleotide unclassified non-coding RNA is filed under the name Hevea brasiliensis (rubber tree). The record is from RNAcentral. Lineage: Eukaryota; Viridiplantae; Streptophyta; Magnoliopsida; Malpighiales; Euphorbiaceae.
ACUUAUUCUGGUUCUUCUCUCCUGUGUAUUAACACAAAAAGCAAUCACAACUCGUUAAUCAGCAUCCUCAACUUUGUACAUUAACAUAUGUUUGCCCACAGUCAUGCAAAUAUACAUACAAUAAAUAUGCAUGCAAAUGCUAUAAUGCUUUUAAGCAUAAACUAGUAGCCAGGUCCAUUACUUUCCUAAUACUAUUCUGAGUUUUUUAUAACUAUCCCUGCCCAAGAAAAUGAGAAAAGAAAGGGCAGAAAAGGGCAUUCAGCUCAUCUUUUUAGGUUAUUCCUAUCAUUAACAUCUAAUAGGUUAGUUUGGGUAGCAUUGUUUGUAAAUAACAUAAUCACUCAAUAGAAGAAGAAGACGAACAACAAAAUCCUCUUCUGCACUUAACCUAACAAAAGGAACAAAUUCCUCCAACUUCUGUGCAGAGUAAUCAGUAGAAUAACCUGAUUAUGUAAUGAAAGAACAAUAGCGCUGAACUAGAUUCUUCCCAAUUCACCUUCUCAUAUUUUUGCAAACUUCUGCUGUACAAAUGAGCAGGUAUUAUUACAAAGAUGUACGUAUGCGAGGUCUUUACUUCAGGUUCUCUUACAGACUACACUACAAGUUAUUCCUCUGUUUUAGCCGUUGCUGCUGUCACCACUCCAGCUGACAAUCUACAGAGUUGUUGCCUUGUGCCCAUCAAAUUAUAGCAAUCCAUCUUUUGUAAUGAUGCAGACAAAUUGUCUCAACACA